Molecule: small nucleolar RNA, 94 nt
Organism: Erinaceus europaeus (western European hedgehog)
Lineage: Eukaryota; Metazoa; Chordata; Mammalia; Eulipotyphla; Erinaceidae
Source: Ensembl
GACCUCAAGACAUUUUGUUUUUAUGUGCUGUGCAAAUAGCUGAAGGUUAAUUAGCAAUAUAACUAGUCGUGCCAUCAGUUUUCUUCAGAGACUG